This 447-nucleotide ribosomal RNA is filed under the name uncultured bacterium. Its description in RNAcentral is "SSU rRNA". It matches the Rfam family "Bacterial small subunit ribosomal RNA", at positions 26 to 518 of the family's 1533-position model. The record is from RNAcentral.
AGAGCGAACGCUGGCGGCAGGCUUAACACAUGCAAGUCGAGCGGGCGUAGCAAUACGUCAGCGGCAGACGGGUGAGUAACGCGUGGGAACGUACCUUUUGGUUCGGAACAACACAGGGAAACUUGUGCUAAUACCGGAUAAGCCCUUACGGGGAAAGAUUUAUCGCCGAAAGAUCGGCCCGCGUCUGAUUAGCUAGUUGGUGAGGUAACGGCUCACCAAGGCGACGAUCAGUAGCUGGUCUGAGAGGAUGAUCAGCCACAUUGGGACUGAGACACGGCCCAAACUCCUACGGGAGGCAGCAGUGGGAAUAUUGGACAAUGGGCGCAAGCCUGAUCCAGCCAUGCCGCGUGAGUGAUGAAGGCCCUAGGGUUGUAAAGCUCUUUUGUGCGGGAAGAUAAUGACGGUACCGCAAGAAUAAGCCCCGGCUAACUUCGCGCCAGCAGCCGC